UGCGGCUGGAUCACCUCCUAACGUUAUAGGCAUGCCAAAGCAUGCCCUCCCGUGCCAGUCGGUCUCCUGGGCGCAAGCCUGGGGGAGCCACGAUUUUUGUCGUGGCAAGCUGAAAAUGUCGACCGAGACCAAAAGAGAAUCAUCAGCCAGCUAUUUAUGAUCCUUAGCUGGGCAUAGAACCCGGGCUUGUAGCUCAGCUGGUAGAGCGCCGCCUUUGCAAGGCGGAGGCCCUGGGUUCGAAUCCCAGCAAGUCCAAUUACAAUGCACACAUUGAGGUAGACUCGAUGUGGAAGGGCAGAGGUCCGUUCUUGACGGGGCGGUCCUGUGAAGCCGUGCACAAGCUUUGCGACCAGACGCUCACUGAGUUUAGUGGGGCAUA
Molecule: transfer RNA, 379 nt
Filed under: uncultured archaeon
Lineage: Archaea
Description: 16S-23S ribosomal RNA intergenic spacer
Rfam family: tRNA (bases 183-255)
Source: RNAcentral